RNAcentral lists this ribosomal RNA (253 nucleotides) under uncultured bacterium. Its description in RNAcentral is "partial 16S ribosomal RNA". It matches the Rfam family "Bacterial small subunit ribosomal RNA", at positions 524 to 776 of the family's 1533-position model. The record is from RNAcentral.
GACAGAGGGUGCAAACGUUGUUCGGAAUUACUGGGCGUAAAGGGCUCGUAGGCGGCCAACUAAGUCAGACGUGAAAUCCCUCGGCUUAACCGGGGAACUGCGUCUGAUACUGGAUGGCUGGAGUUUGGGAGAGGGAUGCGGAAUUCCAGGUGUAGCGGUGAAAUGCGUAGAUAUCUGGAGGAACACCGGUGGCGAAGGCGGCAUCCUGGACCAAUACUGACGCUGAGGAGCGAAAGCCAGGGGAGCAAACGGG